UACGUAGGGGGCAAGCGUUGUCCGGAAUCAUUGGGCGUAAAGAGCGUGUAGGCGGCCCGAUAAGUCCGCUGUGAAAGUCCAGGGCUCAACCCUGGAAUGCCAGUGGAAACUGUCGGGCUGGAGUCCGGAAGAGGCGAGUGGAAUUCCUGGUGUAGCGGUGAAAUGCGCAGAUAUCAGGAGGAACACCGAUGGCGAAGGCAGGUCUCUGGGCCAUAACUGACGCUGAGAAGCGAAAGCAUGGGGAGCGAACAGG
RNAcentral lists this ribosomal RNA (253 nucleotides) under uncultured bacterium. Its description in RNAcentral is "partial 16S ribosomal RNA". It matches the Rfam family "Bacterial small subunit ribosomal RNA", at positions 524 to 776 of the family's 1533-position model. The record is from RNAcentral.